Paramuricea clavata is the source of this 679-nucleotide non-coding RNA. NCBI's taxonomy places the organism in Eukaryota, Metazoa, Cnidaria, Anthozoa, Malacalcyonacea, Plexauridae. The record is from the annotation of a GenBank genome assembly.
CGUACAGAAAAGCACUGUGGCAGAAAAACCAGAAUUGGUUUAUAAAGAUGUCUGCCUGCUACCGAAUCCUGAUUGGAAUGUAGUACCGCGUGGUUUGGCCAAGGCGGGAUUGGUCGAAAAAGGGCUGUUUGUUGACGCUUUUCACCUUGACAAAAAGUGGAACGAGGUUCGACUGUACAGGGAAUUGUCCUCGCUCUUUGAAAGAGUGCUAGAUGGUGAACAAGGUCAUGAGAUCGGGUGAGUACUGUAAAGUUACAAUACAAUACACUGAUACAUAAUGGCCGUUUUUAUACUAGAGACGCAUAAUAGAGACGCAUUAUGCGUCUGGACGAACUUGGGCUUGUUUAUUUUAGUAUUUCAACUUUUAUUUUAGUAUUUCAACUUUUUAUUUUUGUGUUUCAACUUUUUAUUUUUGUGUUCCAACUUUUUAUUUUUCUGUUUCAACUUUUUAUUUUUCUGUUUCAACUUUUUAUUUUUCUGUUUCAACUUUUUAUUUUUCUGUUUCAGCUUUUUAUUUUUAGAGUUUCUACUUUUUAUUUUUGUGUUUUAACUUUUUAUUGUUCUGUUUCAACUUUUUAUUUUUCUGUUUCAACUUUUUAUUUUUCGUUUUUGUUUGUGGAAACACCAAGUAAAUUUAUUACUGCAAAGCUUUCGAUCCGUAAGCCCGGAUCUUCAUCAG